RNAcentral lists this ribosomal RNA (454 nucleotides) under Shigella sp. UW10. Its description in RNAcentral is "bacterial SSU rRNA". It matches the Rfam family "Bacterial small subunit ribosomal RNA", at positions 31 to 476 of the family's 1533-position model. The record is from RNAcentral. Lineage: Bacteria; Pseudomonadati; Pseudomonadota; Gammaproteobacteria; Enterobacterales; Enterobacteriaceae.
GAACGCUGGCGGCAGGCCUAACACAUGCAAGUCGAACGGUAACAGGAAGRAGCUUGCUUCUUUKCUGACGAGUGGCGGACGGGUGAGUAAUGUCUGGGAAACUGCCUGAUGGAGGGGGAUAACUACUGGAAACGGUAGCUAAUACCGCAUAACGUCGCAAGACCAAAGAGGGGGACCUUCGGGCCUCUUGCCAUCGGAUGUGCCCAGAUGGGAUUAGCUAGUAGGUGGGGUAACGGCUCACCAAGGCGACGAUCCCUAGCUGGUCUGAGAGGAUGACCAGCCACACUGGAACUGAGACACGGUCCAGACUCCUACGGGAGGCAGCAGUGGGGAAUAUUGCACAAUGGGCGCAAGCCUGAUGCAGCCAUGCCGCGUGUAUGAAGAAGGCCUUCGGGUUGUAAAGUACUUUCAGCGGGGAGGAAGGGAGUAAAGUUAAUACCUUGCUCAUGACGUA